AUUGAACGCUGGCGGAAUGCUUUACACAUGCAGGUCGAACGGCAGCACGGACUUCGGUCUGGUGGCGAGUGGCGAACGGGUGAGUAACAUAUCGGAACGUAUCUAAUAAUGGGGGAUAACGAGUCGAAAGAUUCGCUAAUACCGCAUACGCCCUACGGGGGAAAGCUGGGGAACUUCGGGCCUGGCGUUAAUGGAGCGGCCGAUAUCUGAUUAGCUAGUUGGUGAGGUAAAGGCUCACCAAGGUGACGAUCAGUAGCUGGUCUGAGAGGACGACCAGCCACACUGGAACUGAGACACGGUCCAGACUCCUACGGGAGGCAGCAGUGGGGAAUUUUGGACAAUGGGCGCAAGCCUGAUCCAGCCAUUCCGCGUGAGUGAAGAAGGCCUUCGGGUUGUAAAGCUCUUUCGCAAGGGAAGAAAACUUAGCCACUAACAUUGGUUGAGGUUGACGGUACCUUGAUAAGAAGCACCGGCUAACUACGUGCCAGCCGCCGCAGUAA
Molecule: ribosomal RNA, 500 nt
Filed under: uncultured bacterium
Lineage: Bacteria
Description: partial 16S ribosomal RNA
Rfam family: Bacterial small subunit ribosomal RNA
Source: RNAcentral